GCCUUCUUGGCUCAGUUGGCAGAGCGUGUGCCUAGUAAGCACAAGGUCAUCAGUUCGAUUCUGGUAGAAGGCA
Non-coding RNA from Tieghemiomyces parasiticus, 73 nucleotides. Lineage: Eukaryota; Fungi; Kickxellomycota; Dimargaritomycetes; Dimargaritales; Dimargaritaceae. The record is from the annotation of a GenBank genome assembly.